Molecule: ribosomal RNA, 207 nt
Filed under: uncultured bacterium
Lineage: Bacteria
Description: partial 16S ribosomal RNA
Rfam family: Bacterial small subunit ribosomal RNA
Source: RNAcentral
UGCGUAGGCGGGUCUUUAAGUCAGGGUGAAAUCCUGGAGCUCAACUCCAGAACUGCCUUUGAUACUGAGGAUCUUGAGUUCGGGAGAGGUGAGUGGAACUGCGAGUGUAGAGGUGAAAUUCGUAGAUAUUCGCAAGAACACCAGUGGCGAAGGCGGCUCACUGGCCCGAUACUGACGCUGAGGCACGAAAAGCUGGGGGAGCAAACA